AUGGCUCUACGAGACGGAGUCAUUUUCGGCAAGCUUCGAGGUGCUUCGCGAGUGGUGCUCGAAGUAGAUUGUCUGGAGUUGGUACAACUCUGGAACUCGCCACAAAUUUCGCGCUCUGUCAUAGCGCCUAUUCUUCUUGAAAUUGAAGGGCUAGCCUCAACUUUUCUUAGUUUUGAUGUUCAUCAUGUAUUGAGACAAGCUAACAACUCAGCGCACCUCUGUGCAAAGCAUGCAAGCACAUUGGGAGUGACUGAUUGUUGGAUGGACUCUCCUCCCGGUUUCCUAGUGACGAGCCUGAUGGCUGAUCGCGCUGGAGCCGUUUAUGAUUGA
Molecule: ribosomal RNA, 330 nt
Filed under: Triticum aestivum (bread wheat)
Lineage: Eukaryota; Viridiplantae; Streptophyta; Magnoliopsida; Poales; Poaceae
Description: partial small subunit ribosomal RNA
Source: RNAcentral